Molecule: ribosomal RNA, 406 nt
Filed under: uncultured bacterium
Lineage: Bacteria
Description: partial 16S ribosomal RNA
Rfam family: Bacterial small subunit ribosomal RNA
Source: RNAcentral
AUUGAACGCUGGCGGCAGGCUUAACACAUGCAAGUCGAGCGAGCGGCGGACGGGUGAGUAAUGUCUGGGAAACUGCCUGAUGGAGGGGGAUAACUACUGGAAACGGUAGCUAAUACCGCAUACCAUCAGAUGUGCCCAGAUGGGAUUAGCUGGUGGGUGGGGUAAUGGCUAACCUAGGCGACGAUCCCUAGCUGGUCUGAGAGGAGGACCAGCCAAACGGGAACUGGGAAAGGGUCCAGAUUCCUACGGGGGGAAGAAGUGGGGAAUAUUGGACAAUGGGCGAAAGCCUGAUGCAGCAAGGCCGCGGGGGGGAAGAAGGCCUUCGGGUUUUAAAGCAUGUUCAGCGGGGAGGCGUUACUUGCAGAAGAAGCACCGGCUAACUCCGUGCCAGCAGCCGCGGUAAUUC